CAGUCGCCGCGGGAAUACGUAGGUGGCAAGCGUUGUCCGGAAUUAUUGGGCGUAAAGCGCGCGCAGGUGGUUUAAUAAGUCUGAUGUGAAAGCCCACGGCUCAACCGUGGAGGGUCAUUGGAAACUGUUAAACUUGAGUGCGGGAGAGAAAAGUGGAAUUCCUAGUGUAGCGGUGAAAUGCGUAGAGAUUAGGAGGAACACCAGUGGCGAAGGCGGCUUUUUGGCCUGUAACUGACACUGAGGCGCGAAAGCGUGGGGAGCAAACAGGAUUAGAUACCCCAGUAGUCCCUGUCUCUUAUAC
RNAcentral lists this ribosomal RNA (301 nucleotides) under uncultured bacterium. RNAcentral's name for it is "partial 16S ribosomal RNA". It matches the Rfam family "Bacterial small subunit ribosomal RNA", at positions 509 to 807 of the family's 1533-position model. The record is from RNAcentral.